This 30-nucleotide non-coding RNA is filed under the name Homo sapiens (human). The record is from RNAcentral. Lineage: Eukaryota; Metazoa; Chordata; Mammalia; Primates; Hominidae.
UAAACAUGAAAAUGUUGCCUAUAUGUUGCU